GACCUAUGUGUUUGUCACUUUUAUACCAAACGGUCCAUAUUCUUUUCAAGUAGCAUUUUCUAAAUUCCAUUAUUAUUUUAUUCGUCUAAUUAACUGUGAUAAGUCAAUCAAUUAUUGUACUUUAUUAAUUAACAAGUCAUUGUUUUGUUUUCUCCUCUUUUCUUUUCUUUUUCUUGUUAAAAAACCCCUUUUCAUAAAUAUUAAUACUCCGUAUUGUUUCUGUGUUCCAUCUGAUACGAGAGCCACACAAAUUAAAAAUUGAUUUUGUUGUUAAAUCUGAUAAUGGUAUAAAUCCAUCUGUCAUCUGAUCAUAUUCAUACUGCUCGAAUGAACCUGUGCCACCGUCCGGAAAGAAAAAAUGGUUUACCGAUAUUCGAUUUGCAUCCUACCAAAUCAUGCACAUACUAAUCGUAUAUCUUUAUCCAUCUAUUUUUAACAAAAUAUAAUAUUAUUAACUAAAAAAUA
RNAcentral lists this long non-coding RNA (465 nucleotides) under Brassica napus (rape). RNAcentral's name for it is "long non-coding RNA (BNAP_LNC000651)". The record is from RNAcentral. Lineage: Eukaryota; Viridiplantae; Streptophyta; Magnoliopsida; Brassicales; Brassicaceae.